RNAcentral lists this ribosomal RNA (253 nucleotides) under uncultured bacterium. RNAcentral describes it as "partial 16S ribosomal RNA". It matches the Rfam family "Bacterial small subunit ribosomal RNA", at positions 524 to 776 of the family's 1533-position model. The record is from RNAcentral.
UACGUAGGGUGCGAGCGUUGUCCGGAAUUACUGGGCGUAAAGAGCUCGUAGGUGGUUUGUCGCGUUGUUCGUGAAAACCGGGGGCUUAACCCUCGGCGUGCGGGCGAUACGGGCAGACUUGAGUACUGCAGGGGAGACUGGAAUUCCUGGUGUAGCGGUGAAAUGCGCAGAUAUCAGGAGGAACACCGAUGGCGAAGGCAGGUCUCUGGGCUGACACUGACGCUCAUGCACGAAAGCGUGGGGAGCAAACAGG